CCUACGGGAGGCAGCAGUGAGGAAUCUUGCGCAAUGGGCGAAAGCCUGACGCAGCAACGCCGCGUGAACGAGACAGCCUUCGGGGUGUAAAGUUCUGUCAGUGGGGACGAAAGAUGACGGUGCCCACAGAGGAAGCACCGGCUAACUCCGUGCCAGCAGCCGCGGCAAUACGGAGGGUGCAAGCGUGGUCCGGAAGCAUUGGGCGUAAAGAGUAGGUAGGCGGUAUGUUUAGUAUGGUGGUAAAUGCAGAAGGUCAACUUCUGUUGGGCACUGGAUACUGGCAAACUAGAAUGUCGUAGAGGUAAAGGGAAUUCCUGGUGUAGCGGUGAAAUGCUUAGAUAUCAGGAGGAACAUCAGUGGCGUAAGCGCUUUUCUGGGCCGUAAUUGACGCUGAGGAACGAAAGCGAGGGUAGCAAAUGGGAUUAGAUACCCCAGUAGUC
RNAcentral lists this ribosomal RNA (440 nucleotides) under uncultured bacterium. RNAcentral describes it as "partial 16S ribosomal RNA". It matches the Rfam family "Bacterial small subunit ribosomal RNA", at positions 338 to 795 of the family's 1533-position model. The record is from RNAcentral.